Molecule: transfer RNA, 85 nt
Filed under: Clostridiales bacterium UBA8153
Lineage: Bacteria; Bacillati; Bacillota; Clostridia; Eubacteriales; Clostridiales Family XVII. Incertae Sedis
Description: tRNA-Tyr
Rfam family: tRNA
About the family: Transfer RNA (tRNA) molecules are approximately 80 nucleotides in length. Their secondary structure includes four short double-helical elements and three loops (D, anti-codon, and T loops).
Source: RNAcentral
GGAGAGGUACCCAAGCGGCCAAAGGGGGCAGACUGUAAAUCUGUUGGCUACGCCUUCGCUGGUUCGAAUCCAGCCCUCUCCACCA